This is a non-coding RNA of Notechis scutatus (mainland tiger snake), 785 nucleotides long. NCBI's taxonomy places the organism in Eukaryota, Metazoa, Chordata, Lepidosauria, Squamata, Elapidae. The record is from RefSeq and is a predicted model, not a curated record.
ACCUUGGGACACAGCAACAGUCAUAAGUAUGAACCAAUUCCCAAGCACCUGAAUUUUGAUAUUACGGGGAUGCUGCAAACAUCACUGUGAAAAAUUUAUUAGUAGUCUGGAUUUGGGUGCACAAAGGACAGAAGAUCCUGACACCCUUCAUCUUAUGUACGAAGGGUGUGUGCUUAAGUACUGCCCUUUCUUCUUGGAGGACACCCCUAGGAGAGCAGAAACAAACAAGUUUUGAGUCCUAGAAGCUGUCUACCCCACUACCAGCCUUAACGUGAAGGUCUCUCAUCUUUUUAACCCAUCUUAGCGAAGAAGGAAAGUGGUGCGAAGAACUGGCAGGAGCCUGAAGGCCAAAUAAAGGGAGAGGGAAGAAAUGAAAGAACGUCACACUUGCUAAGUAGGUAUUAUUUAUUAAGGCUUGUAUUCUCCUAGAGGAAAAAGUUAAUCUGAUGCUGCUCCAUUACUCCUUACAUCAGAAGUAACAGACAAAGCUAUAUGUUCUAAAUACAAGUCUAAAUGAUACAGCUUAAAACUUUCAUUUAAAUUGGAGGUCCUCUUGUGUAAAUAUUGUUUUUCAGAAGAUAUCUGCUUUCUAAUAUAAGUAAAAGAUCCUCUACAAUUAAACACGUGCAGAAUCAAUGUGCUAGAGCAACAGGCAUGAGCACCAAGAAUUCAUGCUAAAUUUUUGAAAACUCCGGUUGGUGGCCACUUCUUCCGACAGCUUCCUCAUUCCACAAAAACAUGACAGAAGAUUCAUUUCUUAAAACAAUUGUUUUUUUUUUUUUACU